GAUGAACGCUGGCGGCGUGCCUAAUACAUGCAAGUCGAGCGAACAGACGAGGAUCUUUCUCCUCUGACGUUAGCGGCGGACGGGUGAGUAACACGUGGAUAACCUACCUAUAAGACUGGGAUAACUUCGGGAAGCCGUAGCUAAUACCAGAUAAGAUAUUCAACCGCAUGGUGCAAGAGUGAAAUACGGUUUUGCUGUCACUUAGAGAUGUAUCCGCUCCGCAUUAGCUAGUUGGUAAGGUAACGCCUUACCAAGGCGACGAUGCGUAGACGACCUGAGAGGGUGAUAGGCCACCCUGGAACUGAGACAGGGUCCAGAGUCCUACGGGAGGCAGCAGUCGGGAAUCUUACGCAAUGGGCGAAAGCAUGACGGAGCAACGCCGAGUGAGUGAUGAAGGUCUUCGGAUCGUAAAACUCUGUUACUAGGGAAGAACAACUGUCUAAGUAAAUAUGCAGGUAUUGACGGUACCUAAUCAGAAAGCCACGGCUAACUACGUG
This 497-nucleotide ribosomal RNA is filed under the name uncultured bacterium. RNAcentral's name for it is "partial 16S ribosomal RNA". It matches the Rfam family "Bacterial small subunit ribosomal RNA", at positions 28 to 507 of the family's 1533-position model. The record is from RNAcentral.